Molecule: long non-coding RNA, 605 nt
Organism: Zingiber officinale
Lineage: Eukaryota; Viridiplantae; Streptophyta; Magnoliopsida; Zingiberales; Zingiberaceae
Exons: 3
Source: RefSeq, a predicted model, not a curated record
UUCUCCCUAUUCUUCUCUCCCGACCCAAGCUUCGCCCGAUUUCUCUUCUUCCAAUCUCCUCCACUACUCGUCGCUGCCGACCACUCUCUUCCCCACCCGAUCGCACGACGUUGCUCCAGCUAUCACUCGCCGGAGCAUCCAAACCCCUCUACCCCCUCACCUGAAGUCCACCCAUGGUUCUUCUCGUAAAAUAGCCGCUCCUUGUGUGUCAUCUUCGGCCGGAGAUCGACAGAUCAGAGCCCUAGAUCUGCCAGAGUGAAGCUUAGGUUCCAGCAGCAGAUCUUUGGGUUGUAUCGGCAUUCCGAAAGGUUGUCUUCCUUCCCGUGGCAUAACAUCCAUGUUUCACCGCCGAUUUCCUUCAUCACGUAUGCCCCAGUUCUUCUUGCUGACGCUAUUGAUCGCUCAGCACUUGAUGUAGCUUGGCCACCGGUUGUAUUUGUUUUGGCCGCUAGAAGCAUAUUUGGUUGUAGAUCCUUGGAUGUGGUGAUCAUAUCUACUGGAGCCCAGCCAUACAAUUGGAGGGAAGCUAAGGUGCAUGAUGUUUAGAUACAGGUAAAAGGAAAAUGGACUAGCAGUGGAGGCUGGAGGUCGGUGCAGAUGAGGAU